CAAAGGCUGUGCAUCAGUUACAUACCUGCUUGGAGUCACAGUGGAUUCCAUAAGCCCCUGGCAGCCACACCAAGAACUGUUAGCGGAACAGAUGCAGAGCUAGAAUCUUCCAUCUAUUUGGGAAAUGUUUUAGAUGGUCGAAAGGUCUUUCCUGAGCCAGAACCCGCAGACGCCGUGCUAAAUUGCAGCUUUUGCCGAACCUCAUCCGCUAUUACAGUGUGC
Pelobates cultripes (western spadefoot toad) is the source of this 222-nucleotide non-coding RNA. NCBI's taxonomy places the organism in Eukaryota, Metazoa, Chordata, Amphibia, Anura, Pelobatidae. The record is from the annotation of a GenBank genome assembly.